Molecule: ribosomal RNA, 497 nt
Filed under: uncultured bacterium
Lineage: Bacteria
Description: partial 16S ribosomal RNA
Rfam family: Bacterial small subunit ribosomal RNA
Source: RNAcentral
GAUGAACGCUGGCGGCGUGCCUAAUACAUGCAAGUCGAGCGAACAGACGAGGAGCUUGCUCCUCUGACGUUAGCGGCGGACGGGUGAGUAACACGUGGAUAACCUACCUAUAAGACUGGGAUAACUUCGGGAAACCGGAGCUAAUACCGGAUAAUAUAUUGAACCGCAUGGUUCAAUAGUGAAAGACGGUUUUGCUGUCACUUAUAGAUGGAUCCGCGCCGCAUUAGCUAGUUGGUAAGGUAACGGCUUACCAAGGCAACGAUGCGUAGCCGACCUGAGAGGGUGAUCGGCCACACUGGAACUGAGACACGGUCCAGACUCCUACGGGAGGCAGCAGUAGGGAAUAUUCCGCAAUGGGCGAAAGCCUGACGGAGCAACGCCGCGUGAGUGAUGAAGGUCUUCGGAUCGUAAAACUCUGUUAUUAGGGAAGAACAAAUGUGUAAGUAACUAUGCACGUAUUGACGGUACCUAAUCAGAAAGCCACGGCUAACUACGUG